Molecule: ribosomal RNA, 498 nt
Filed under: uncultured bacterium
Lineage: Bacteria
Description: partial 16S ribosomal RNA
Rfam family: Bacterial small subunit ribosomal RNA
Source: RNAcentral
AUUGAACGCUGGCGGCAUGCCUUACACAUGCAAGUCGAACGGUAACAGGUCUUCGGAUGCUGACGAGUGGCGAACGGGUGAGUAAUACAUCGGAACGUGCCUAGUAGUGGGGGAUAACUACUCGAAAGAGAGGCUAAUACCGCAUGAGAUCAACGGAUGAAAGCAGAGGAUCGCAAGACCUUGUGCUACUAUAGCGGCCGAUGGCAGGUUAGGUACUUGGUGGGAUAAAAGCUUACCAAGCCGACGAUCUGUAGCUGGUCUGAGAGGACGAUCAGCCACACUGGGACUGAGACACGGCCCAGGCUCCUACGGGAGGCAGCAGAGGGGAAUUUUGGACAAUGGGCGAAAGCCUGAUCCAGCAAUGCCGCGUGCAGGAUGAAGGCCUUCGGGUUGUAAACUGCUUUUGUACGGAACGAAAAGCCCCGGGUUAAUACCCUGGGGUCAUGACGGUACCGUAAGAAUAAGCACCGGCUAACUACGUGCCAGCCGCCGCGGUAA